UCAGAAGGAAGCUCACCACUGAGAUCACUUGCUGAGUGCUGGUCACUCCCUUCUCUCUGCCUCUGGGAAGGUCUGAGACAAGAGCCAGCAGCUGCCCUUGCAAGGCACCCCCUGCUGCAGGGGAAUGAGGUACAGGGAGGCUGGGCCCCGUCUAGGGAGAGACACAAGAAGUCUGAGAGGAGGUUAUUCUCCCUUGACUGAUGCCCAUGCCCUGUGCAGGGUCUUGAGACAGGCUCAUGGCUGGCACCCUUGAGUCCAAUGGGAUGAGGUGAGGCUUGCUCCCCACAUGCAGGACUCACAACCCAAUUCAGACUACUCUCCCUCUGA
RNAcentral lists this RNase P RNA (327 nucleotides) under Crocodylus porosus (Australian saltwater crocodile). Its description in RNAcentral is "Nuclear RNase P (ENSCPRG00005006084.1)". It matches the Rfam family "Nuclear RNase P". From Rfam's summary of the family: Ribonuclease P (RNase P) is a ubiquitous endoribonuclease, found in archaea, bacteria and eukarya as well as chloroplasts and mitochondria. Its best characterised activity is the generation of mature 5'-ends of tRNAs by cleaving the 5'-leader elements of precursor-tRNAs. Cellular RNase Ps are ribonucleoproteins. The record is from Rfam by way of RNAcentral. Lineage: Eukaryota; Metazoa; Chordata; Crocodylia; Crocodylidae.